UAUAUAUAUAUAUAUAUAUAUAUAUAUAUAUCACAACGUUUAUGCUGCAAUAGAAGAGGUGGUGACGACAGGCGUGGUGGUAAAAACAUCGGCGUCGUCAGAAGUGACGUGACAGAAGUACAAGACUCGGUAAAGAACUAGAAAGAAAGAAAGAGAGAGAAAAAAAAGGAAAGAGGACAAAAAAAUUUAGACGACGGAGAAACAGACAAAAAAGAAAAGAAAGAAAUUGUUAUAGGAAAGCAGUAUCUCAGGUGCGUCUCUCGGAAAGUAGAAAACACAAACAAGAUAGCGAUAGUUUCGUUUAUCGUCUGCUUUAUACACCUGCCGAUACUGUAUUGAACACUCAACACUGGCCGAUCGGUCCUUGGCUACAAUGGCAGUCAACGAAAAUAUUAAUUAUUGUAACAUACAAAGAGCUGUGCCUACAGCAUGGUCAAGUUCUAUUCUGCAGGACCCGGCUUCUAUGAUACGGCACCUCUUCAUUCAGGAACUUUUGCUUACAGUUUUUGUAUUGGUUUGCUUCGUGUUGAUUCGGACAAUAUAUACAGUUGUGAAGCGUCGCUAUGCUCGGAUCACAGUAUUCGUAAUCGGUGGUGGGCCUAUCGGGUUGACAGCUAUGUUUAUAGCCGCCAAAUGCGUCCGUGUAGCGCGCCUGGUCCUUUACGAAGAACUCUGUCGAAGUUCCUUGAUAAACAGACUCAAUCAACUUGCUUUCGAUAUGUCCAGUAUAAACUUUCUCAAAGACCUUGGAAUAGAUUUCCAUAAUAUGGAAGGCUGUUGGCAACAAAAUAGUUUUUCUACUCGAGCCGGCAUUUUUCAGGAGUACCUUUUGAAUCUUAUUUCAAAGAUGGACGUGCCGAUAGAAAUGAAAUUCCAAACAAAAGU
RNAcentral lists this long non-coding RNA (885 nucleotides) under Octopus vulgaris (common octopus). The record is from RNAcentral. Lineage: Eukaryota; Metazoa; Mollusca; Cephalopoda; Octopoda; Octopodidae.